CCCUGUUGUCAUAAUGGAGCUGUGCCCUUUGAGUGUGAGGAAACUAGAAGGGUUCUAGUCCUGAUCAGAGGCCAUGUCAAAGCUGCUCAGCUACAUUUUAGACUCCAGCUGCCCGACUGGGGAAGGGGAGACCAUCUGACACACAAAGUUUUCAUUUGUGGAGUAACAGAUGGGAAACGAUAGGAGAAUGAUGACAGCUACCAGACAACCCAAAACUACUUAUGAAGAUUGUAAUUUAUCUCCAUUGGACUGUGCUGGUCUAGAGAAACUCAGUCUCCACCUCCAGCUAUCAGCGCUCGAAGGUUUUGUGGGGAUUUUAAUCAUCGUUGCUGCAUCCUCAGGUCCCACGUGCAAGUCACCUUGUUUCCGUGAAAUGUUUUAGGAAUUUGUCCCAGCAGCUUUACUUACUACUUUACUCUGCUCCAAGAAUACCAUUUCAUUUAAACCCAAAACUUUUAUUUCUUGCUGAAAAUACAUUUUUCCCCCAGUCACUCUUCCCAUGGCUUAGUAACUCAUUUGCUGUAGGACAUGCACAUAUUUUCCUGUGGGGUGGAGGUUGGGAGAGCAAGUUUUGGUGCUUUACACAUAAUCGUUGUGACUGGAAUUCUUUGGGGGACUGUCUUCAUGUCCUUUCCAAGUUACACUCCAUUUUUUGAUAAGUCUUGUGCAAAUAUUUCUUCUCCAGCAGUCACUUAAAAUUGAAUUUAUUACUGUUUCAUGUGAUGCUAUGCAAGCUGUACCUCUGUAAGCCAUUUUUAUUUAUGACCUUUGCCUGUUUCUUUGAUCAUUUUCCUGAUGGUUCAGAUCAUUGAGGUUGAAAUGACUGUCUCUGUUAUUAUGGCAACCCUAUCUACCUUCGAAUUUUCUACCCACUACCUCCACUUGCUCCUGAGCUUCUGGGAUUUCAUUAGUCACAAGCAAAAAUCAAUAUUAUGAACUGAUGAUUCUUGCCCAAGAGAGUUCCAUUAUCACAACUAAACAUGCUAUGAGGCCCUUUAGUGGUUCCAGGGGUGGUAUCCUUGUUUCUUUGGACAAUCAUCCCUUCCUCUGAUUUCUAGAAAUAUUACUUUAUUUGUGAUUGUGAUUUUUUGUUUACUUCAGUGCACUUUUCCAUACUUUUUGACUUAAAAAACAGGCAUUAUACUUUAUGAAAACAUUAGAGAUUUAUUAAUUUGUUAAAUGACGAUAAACAUAGAAGUACAGAUUAUUUUUUAAAAAACAGUUUUGAAGAUAACUUGGUGAUUUCUUACAAAACUCAUCAUACUUUUACCAUACGAUCCAGCAAUUGAGCUUCUUGGCACUUACCCAGAGUUGAAAACUUGUGACCACACACAUAAAAAAACCUGCUCACAGAUGUUUAUAAAAGUUUAUUUAUAGUUACCAAAACUUGGAAGGAACUAAGAUGUCCUUCAGGUGACAUCGUAGGUGAAUGGGUAAAUGAACUCUGGAUAAAUUUCCAUCCAGACAAAGGAAUAUUAUUCAGUGCUAAAAAGAAAUGAGCUAUUAAGUAGUGCCAAGACAUGAAGGAUACUUAAAUGCAUAUUACUCAGCAAAAUAUGCCAAUAUGAAAAGGAUACAUACUGUAUGAUUCCAGCUAUAUGACAUUUUGGAAGAGGCAAAAUGAGGAGAGGAAAAAGAUCAGUGUUGUCAGAGGUUUGGGGAGUGGAGAUAAAUGGACAGAACACAGGAUUUUCAGGGCAGUGAAACCACUCUAUGAUACUAUACUGAUGGAUACCUGUCAUUAUACAGUUGUCCAAAACCAUAGAUUGUGCAACUCCAAGAGUGAAUCUUAAGGUAUGACAUGGGUUUUCAGUGAUUUCGAUGUGUUACAUUUGAGUGGUGUGUUACAAUGACAAUAAAUGCACCUCUCUGGUGGGGAUACCGAUGGGG
Molecule: long non-coding RNA, 1890 nt
Organism: Vulpes vulpes (red fox)
Lineage: Eukaryota; Metazoa; Chordata; Mammalia; Carnivora; Canidae
Source: Ensembl